This 350-nucleotide unclassified non-coding RNA is filed under the name Hevea brasiliensis (rubber tree). The record is from RNAcentral. Lineage: Eukaryota; Viridiplantae; Streptophyta; Magnoliopsida; Malpighiales; Euphorbiaceae.
AAAAAUAAAUAAAUUAUCUCAAAAAUUAUAAUACCUACACAGUUAUUUGAGGAAAAAUAAUAAUAGGAGAAAUCUAAGUUUUUAUUUUUUCAAUUUCAUUGAUCCUAAAAUACGCAAAAACAAUGGAAUCCUUCUAGGAAAUUUCAAAUUGUUUCUUUAAAUUGGAAAAUUUAUUUCCCUUGCAACACUAAAAUAUAAAACAUUAGACCAAUACAAAAUCAAAUUUCACAAAUGAUAAAAAGGAAAGUAACUAAUCGACAACUUCACAACAGAAAAUUAAUUUUCGAUUUCGUAACAAUCAAUUCUGAUUUCACAAACAUGUACACCAGCAGCAGCAACAACAACAACAA